GUAGAGUAGGCAGCUGCGCGUUAAGUGCUAUGUGUACGGGAUGUUGACCAUGGACGAAGCACCGGGGAUGUAAGGUGCGCGGUGCACUGCCGCUUCCGCUA
This 101-nucleotide non-coding RNA is filed under the name bovine gut metagenome. RNAcentral's name for it is "THF riboswitch". It matches the Rfam family "THF (Tetrahydrofolate) riboswitch aptamer". From Rfam's summary of the family: THF riboswitch presents a pseudoknot that joins P1-P2 and the loop of P3 and two THF binding. The record is from RNAcentral.